UGAAAAAAUUUAUUUAUUAAUUUUUUUUUAAUAAAUUUUUUUUAAUAAAAAUAAUUUUAAAGUUUUAUUUUUAGUAAAUUUUAUAGAAAAAAUAUUUUUUAUUAUAGUUUAUUUGUAUUGUAAAAGAAUAUUGAAAUAAUUUGAAAAAUUUUUUAUAAAAAGAAAAAUUAAAAUUUUGUGCCUUGUGUGUCAGGAUUAAUUAAUUAAAUGUUAGAAAAUUUAAAAUUCUCGAAUUUAAAAGAUUUAAUUAAAUAUUUUAUUUAUUGUAAAAUAAAUAUUAAAAAUUUUUAAUUAGAAAUUAAAAGUUAGUCGUUUUUAAAUUUAUCUAGUUCUUUAAGAAAUAAAUUUAAUUUAGAAAUUUUAUAUUAUUAAUUUAGUUGAAUUAAAUUAAUAAUUAUUUAAUUUUAAUAUUUUAUGGGAUAAGCUAUAAAAUAAAUUUUCAAAAAUAAAUAAAUAAAUUUAUAAAUAUAAGCUUAGAAAUAGCUAUUAUUAAUAAUUUUGUUUUAAUUUAUUUAGUUAAUAAAAUUAUUUAUUAAAUUUUGAAUAUUUAUUAAAGUAUUUAUUUUAAUUAUAAAAAUAAAAUUAUUAUGAUUAAAUUAGUAGAAAUAAUUUAUUAAAAAAAAUAAAAUAUUUUUUAGUUUAAAAAAAUAAAUUCGGUAAAAUUUUAUAUUUAACUGUUUAUCAAAAACAUUUCUUUUUAGAUUUUUUAAAAAGUAUAACCUGCCCAUUGAAAAUUUUAAAAGGCCGCGGUAUUUUGACCGUGCAAAGGUAGCAUAAUCAUUAGUUUUUUAAUUGAAGACUCGUAUGAAUGGUUGAAUAAAAUAUAUACUGUUUCUUUUUAAUUUUAAUUUAAUUUUAUUUUUUAGUUAAAAAGCUAAAAUGAAAUUUAAAGACGAGAAGACCCUAUAAAGCUUUAUAUUUUAUUUAAUUAAAAAUUAUAAAGAUUUAAAAUUUAAUUUUUAUUUUUAUAAAUAUUUUAUUGGGGUGAUAAAAAAAUUUAAUAAACUUUUUUAAUUUUUUAUUAAUAAUAUUUAUUUAAAUAAUAAUUUUAAUUUGAUCCAAAAUUUUUGAUUAUUAAAUUAAGUUACUUUAGGGAUAACAGCGUAAUUUUUUUGGAGAGUUCGAAUCGAUAAAAAAGUUUGCGACCUCGAUGUUGGACUAAGAGUAAAUUUAGGUGUAGAAGUUUAAAUUUUUAGUCUGUUCGACUAUUUAAUUCUUACGUGAUCUGAGUUCAAACCGGUGUAAGCCAGGUUGGUUUCUAUCUUAAAUUAAUUUAUAAUUUUUUAGUACGAAAGGACCAAAUAUUAAAACUUAGUUUUAUUAAUUAUAAAGAAUAAAAAUAAAAUAAUUUUAAAAUUUUAAAAAUAAAUAU
Molecule: ribosomal RNA, 1372 nt
Filed under: Limnophyes minimus
Lineage: Eukaryota; Metazoa; Arthropoda; Insecta; Diptera; Chironomidae
Description: 16S ribosomal RNA
Source: RNAcentral